GUGGCGAGUGGCGAACGGGUGAGUAAUACAUCGGAACGUGUCCUGUAGUGGGGGAUAGCCCGGCGAAAGCCGGAUUAAUACCGCAUACGACCURAGGGAGAAAGCGGGGGAUCUUCGGACCUCGCGCUAUAGGGGCGGCCGAUGGCAGAUUAGCUAGUUGGUGGGGUAAAGGCCUACCAAGGCGACGAUCUGUAGCUGGUCUGAGAGGACGACCAGCCACACUGGGACUGAGACACGGCCCAGACUCCUACGGGAGGCAGCAGUGGGGAAUUUUGGACAAUGGGGGCAACCCUGAUCCAGCAAUGCCGCGUGUGUGAAGAAGGCCUUCGGGUUGUAAAGCACUUUUGUCCGGAAAGAAAACUUCGUCCCUAAUAUGGAUGGAGGAUGACGGUACCGGAAGAAUAAGCACCGGCUAACUACGUGCCAGCAGCCGCGGUAAUACGUAGGGUGCGAGCGUUAAUCGGAAUUACUGGGCGUAAAGCGUGCGCAGGCGGUCUGUUAAGACCGAUGUGAAAUCCCCGGGCUUAACCUGGGAACUGCAUUGGUGACUGGCAGGCUUUGAGUGUGGCAGAGGGAGGUAGAAUUCCACGUGUAGCAGUGAAAUGCGUAGAGAUGUGGAGGAAUACCGAUGGCGAAGGCAGCCUCCUGGGCCAACACUGACGCUCAUGCACGAAAGCGUGGGGGAGCAAACAGGAUUAGAUACCCUGGUAGUCCACGCCUUAAACGAUGUCACUAGCUGUGGGGAUUCAUUUCUUAGUAACGUAGCUACGCGUGAAGUUGACGCUGGGGAGUACGUUCGCAGAUUAAACUCAAUCAAUUGACGGACCGCACA
RNAcentral lists this ribosomal RNA (832 nucleotides) under Caballeronia sp. Its description in RNAcentral is "bacterial SSU rRNA". The record is from RNAcentral. Lineage: Bacteria; Pseudomonadati; Pseudomonadota; Betaproteobacteria; Burkholderiales; Burkholderiaceae.